This is a long non-coding RNA of Cyprinus carpio carpio, 2455 nucleotides long. Lineage: Eukaryota; Metazoa; Chordata; Actinopteri; Cypriniformes; Cyprinidae. The record is from Ensembl.
CUUAAAUGUAUUUUAACAAUUUCUCAGCAAAAAAAAAAAAAAAAGAAAUUGCAAGUAAAUUUCACAAAUAAUUACAAAGAAAAUAUCUAAGUAGAAUAAAAUAAAAAUAAUUACAAUAAUUACAAUUUCGUACUCCAACAAUCUUUGUUUUACUUACAAAUUUGAAAAAAUAUUUUUACAGUGUAGCAUUAAGAAGGUUUAAUAAAUGCUUUAAAUAUAUAUAUUGCUCAUAGUUCAUGCUAGCUUAUGAAUGAGACCUGACUGUAAAGUGUUUCCAGAAAAUACGUCAGUUUUUUAAUUCUUUUCUAGUUUAAUAUGAGCAAUUCUGACUUUGUACGAAUGAGUUUUGCUAAUUUUGUUGUGUAGUUUCACCUGGAAAUAGUACAGAAUCUGAAAUAUCUUCCUUUUACAUAUAAAUCCUAAAUCUUUCCAGGUUUAAUUGAAAAAAAAUAGUGAUCUCAGACUUUUAGACCUCACAGUAUAUAUUUAUUUUCCAAUUAAAGAUACAAUAAUAAGAUGAAAUGAACAGGGGUUAUGAAAGCUGCUUUUAAAACGAUCUGAGUUUAGAUACGGAUCAGACGAGUGAAUCUCAGACCUCAGUUUAAACCUGUUUGAUUCACUUCUUCAUUCUUGUGUUGAACUACCUCCGUUUGCUGCUUAGCGUCGUGUAGCGUACGAGGACCAACGUUUUAUGUAUGCCAGACGCGAUCAAGUUGUCGAGCCAUUAUUUUGAGUUUGUUACUCGUUGAGUUAUUCGUGAUGUUGCGUGCGGUUUGCGUUUUGAUUCUUACGUGGAGGAUUCAGUUCUGAUUCGUUUUGGUUGCUCUUAUAAUUUGACUCUUGCUUCUUAAAGGAAAAGUUCACUCAAAAAUGAACGUUUGCUGAAGAUGUGCUCACCCUCAGGCCAUCUGAGAUGUAGACGAGUCUGUUUCUUCCUCAGAUUUGGAGAAAUGUAGCAUUGCAUCAGUGUCUCACCAAUGGAAGUGAAUGGGUGCCGUCAGAAUGAGAGUCCAAACAGCUGAUAAAAACAUCACAAUAAUCCACAAGUAAUCCACAGCACUCCAGUCCAUCAGUUAAUGUCUCAAGAAGAGAAAAGCUGAAACAAAUCCAGCAUUAAGACAUUUUUAACUAAAAUAAUCCCUAAUUACGCUUCCUCCAGUGAAAAAGUGUUCUGAAUCUGGAUUUGUUUCAGCUUUUGUCUCCUCCAGAUGUUAACUGAUGGACUGGAGUGGUGUGGAUUACUUGUGGAUUACUGUGAUGUUUUUAUCAGCUGUUUGGACUCUCAUUCUGACGGCACCCAUUCACUUCCAUUAGUGAGCAAAGUGAUCGAAUGCUACAUUUCUCCAAAUAUGUUCCAAAGAACAAACGAACUCAUCUACACCUUGGUUUUUUUGCAUGUUUUAUACAAACUGAGGGAUGCUUUCUGUGUUUUUUGUUUUCUUAAGGAAGGUGAAUACGUUAAAAAUAACCAAAAAAAUAAAAAUAAAAUAGCUUUAUGAGAUGUCGACGGCCUUAUGAUGGGAGGAUCGUUUGCAAUAUAUUAGAUGCCUGAUCCAAAGAGUGAAAUGAGAAGUUAUACAAUGAUGCCAAAAUGCUGUAACCUCCAAAGAUAGAUGCUAUAUAUUUCUGUAUAUCUGAAAGUGCCAAAAGAAACACGUUCAUUGGUGUAGCCAAGCUUUCGUUCGUUCUAGUCAAAGCGCCCAGACUUUGGGUUUUUCUUUGCUACUUUUUCCAUUUUAGAUGGUAGUGGCACAGGUUUGGUGACGGACGCUGGAUUCCAAAGAGAUGUUUGCUUCUUUCAUUGGGUUGGAGACGACAGAUCUCGACCGGACGGAUGUGAGAAUGACUGAGUGUGUGUUUGUAUGACGUGUGACUGGACUGUGAUCGGUGCUUUAUCACAGGAUUGAUUUGUGGAAAAUAUAAUCAGUGUUUCGAAACAACCCUUUCGAUCGAAGCGGCACGAAAUCAUGCUUUCAGAACACAAACAAGAGACCAAAGAUUGGUACGGUCGCCCCUGUGUAGACUUGACUUUUUGUUUUUUGUAAAGUUGUGUGUGUUCUGACUGCGGCCGCUCAUCUGUAAACCUUCAGAGAACCUGAUGCAAGUCUUCUUCUGAACACACCAGUGUGAGUUUACUCAGCAAAGACUUUGAAUUAGGGGUGUGGAAUGCUCAAUUAUCCUACUUCGUAUUUUUCAUUAGUGUUUUAAUUAUUCAUGUGUUUAUGUUUCGGUUGUUUGCUAAAUCCAAACACAUUUCUCUGUGAAUGUGCCAAAGAAAUAUCAAGUUGUAUAUUUCAGAGGGUCUGAAUUUUGGUGAACUUUAAUGGACGUUGCCUGUUGAUUUAUUAUAAUUUGCAUUAUUAUAUGUUGAGCAUGUUGUACCAGUUUAAUUCCGUUACGUGCCAAAAAGUGGUCAGAACAAUGCACAAUAUAAUAAAAUAUUUCCCAAAAUAUA